CCCGGGCCUUGUACACACCGCCUGUCACACCAUGGGAGUUGGUUUUACCUUAAGGCGGCGGGCUAACCCGCAAGGGAGGCAGCCGACCACGGUAAGGUCAGCGACUGGGGUG
Molecule: ribosomal RNA, 112 nt
Filed under: uncultured bacterium
Lineage: Bacteria
Description: partial 16S ribosomal RNA
Rfam family: Bacterial small subunit ribosomal RNA
Source: RNAcentral